AGGGAAGGUAGUGUAGUUAACACCUGCACUAUUUGACGUUACCUACAGAAGAAGCACCGGCUAACUCCGUGCCAGCAGCCGCGGUAAUACGGAGGGUGCGAGCGUUAAUCGGAAUUACUGGGCGUAAAGCGCAUGCAGGCGGCCUGUUAAGUCAGAUGUGAAAGCCCGGGGCUUAACCUCGGAAUUGCAUUUGAAACUGGCAGGCUAGAGUCUUGUAGAGGGGGGUAGGAAUUUCAGGUGUAGCGGUGAAAUGCGUAGAGAUCUGAAGGAAUACCAGUGGCGAAGGCGGCCCCCUCGGACAAAGACUGACGCUCAGAUGCGAAAGCGUGGGGAGCAAACAGGAUUAGAUACCCUGGUAG
Molecule: ribosomal RNA, 359 nt
Filed under: uncultured bacterium
Lineage: Bacteria
Description: bacterial SSU rRNA
Rfam family: Bacterial small subunit ribosomal RNA
Source: RNAcentral